Molecule: ribosomal RNA, 422 nt
Filed under: uncultured bacterium
Lineage: Bacteria
Description: partial 16S ribosomal RNA
Rfam family: Bacterial small subunit ribosomal RNA
Source: RNAcentral
AAUAUGGGAAAAUGGGGACAACCCUGAUCCAGCCAUGCCGCGUGUGUGAAGAAUGUCAUAGGAAUGUAAAGCACUUUAAGUUGAGAGAAAGGGCUUUAGGUUAAUACCCUGAAGUGUUGACGAUACCAACAGAAUAAGCAUCGGCUAACUCGGAGACAGCAGCCGCGGGAAUACAGUGGGUGCAAGCAUUAAUCGGAAUUAGUGGGCGUAAAGCGCGCGUAGGUGGUUCAGUAAGAUGGGUGUGAAAUCCCCGGGCUUAACCUGGGAACUGCUUUCAUAACUGCUGAGCUAGAGUACGGUAGAGGGUAGUGGAAUUUCCUGUGUAGCGGUGAAAUGCGUAGAUAUAGGAAGGAACACCAGUGGCGAAGGCGACUACCUGGACUGAUACUGACACUGAGGUGCGAAAGCGUGGGGAGCAAACA